AGUUAGCGAGUCUUACUGUGGUUUUAGCUAGCCUUGCUCACAGAGCUAAGAGCCCAGAGGUGUGAUUUGUAGUCAAACCCCUUGACAAAGAUAUUUCCAUUAUGCUUUUCCCAAGACUUUUAUCUUAGGGUCUGAAGCUUGACCAAUAAAAAUUUCAUUUGAGUUAAAUGGCAUAAUCUAUCAAAAGGAGAGAUGUAAUAGUAGUUAAUCGCCGUGGGUUGACUCCUCCGGUCUGUGAGGGAGCCCUGUGGGAGUGGGAAGGCAUGAGAAUAUGGCAGCCUCCCAUGGGUAUGAUGAAAGAAAGAGCAAACAGGAAGAGAUCUUGGCAAUGGACUUUAGAGUCAGGCACUCCCAAGUGUAAAUACCCCUUCUAUGUCCCCUGUUACUUUUCGAAGUAAUUUUCAACAUUUAUUACAACAAUAGGGACAUGUGUUUUUAACCAGACGUUAGCAUGGGACCGAAAGGUGAAGUGUAGAGUUUAAACGCCAGAGUCCAUGCGUGGGCUGCAUGCCCUGGGCCCUCAUUCAUGAGCUGUAUGGCUUGGACCCACGGUAAAGUGUCCGUAACGUGCAGGCUCUUAGAGAGUCUACAGUAGUAGUUCACAACCUGUGGAUUGCAACCCCUAGGAAAACCCCUGUCUCCAAAACAUUUACAUUAUGAAUCAUAACAGCAGCAAAAUUACAGUUAUGAGGUCACAACAAAAGUAAGUUUAUGGUUGCAGGAAGGGUCUCCACAACAUGAGGAAUUGUAUUAAAGGGCCACAGCACGAGGAAGGUUGAGAACCACAGAUCUAUAGUGUUGUCUCAGAGCAGGAACCUGUGUAAUUCCUCAUCGUGUGUUGUCUGGUAUCUGUUUCACUGUGUACUCAAUAUUGUAUGCUACAAAUGAACAUGAAAUGCUGGUCCUUUUCGGGCCACUUCUUUUUCCUGUUGUGUAACUGGAAACCCUCAGUUGGAUGAGGCAAGCCUGAGUCCUCCUGCCACAGACUCUUGGUGGUUGUUGAUACACCCUGCUCUUGAGAUUUCUCAGAGAAUCCACUGGGCAGCUUCAGGUUGUGCCUGGUGGUGAAGGAACCCUUGGUGCUUGCUUGGAGGAGCUUUCUGCUGAAGAACAAAGUCCUGCUAUCGUCCUCUCCCUCCAGAGCUCUUCCCAAUGUGCCUCCAGUUAUCUGGUCCUGAAGAGACCUGCCAGAAAAGCUGUCUAGUUCAGAAACUUCUGAGAGUAGAAUAAAGCCUACUUAAACAAGUGUGCCAGGGCCUUCAUCUCCUUAGCCGCUGUCCACUGCCAUCUGAACCAAUUGGAUGAGAAAGUUGGUCACAUACAAGGCAGAUUGGACAGUGACUCUCAAGAUCUUGUCAGCUUCUCUCUCCUGGUUUUGGAGCUUGGCCUUCAUAUCUCGGAGCACCUACAGCUCUCUGGUGAAAGGAUGGAGGUUGGGCUGCAGAGAAGCAGCCUUUUCCUCUCCACCUCUUUGGACUUAGCUUCCAACUCCUGAAGCACAGAGCUCACACCCAGAGAUGUGUGCCUUUUCUAGUCAAGAAUUCAAGAAUUCUUUGGGUUCUUUCUGUGUGGCUCAGGUCUCCUAUGCCUGUUGCUUGGUGCUUUCAUGGGUCUCCACCAUUCAUUCCAUCACAUGGUCAUGACACCCUAGCAACCAUUGCAACAUUAAUGCUGAGCUGGACACUGAAGAGAGUGCUUCACUGUGGGGAGAGACCAUGAAACCUAGCAUGCUGACUUGAUGGAAUGUGAUUUAGGGAACAUUAUUCAAACUCUCCAAGCUUCAGUUAUUCCUUAUAUUUUAAAUGUGCAUAUAAAAUAUACAAUGGAAAAAGGAAAGCAUCUCAAAUAAGUGGUGCUGGUCUGACUGGCUGUCUGUAAGUAGAAGAAUGAAGAUAGAACUAUAUUUGUCACUUUGUACAAAGCUCAAGUCCAAGUGGGUCAAGGACCUCAACAUAAAACCAGAUACCCUGAAUCUAAUAGAAGAGAAGGUGGGAAAGAGCCUUGAACUCAUUGGCACAGGGGGAAAUUUCCUAAACAGAACUCCAAUGGCUCACACUCUAAGAUCAAGAAUUGAUAAAUGGGACCUCACGAAACUGUAAAACUACUGUAAAGCAAAGAACAUAGUAAGACAAAUUGGCAACCUACUGAUUGGGAGAAAAAUUUCACUAACCCCAUAUCCGAUAAAGGGCUAAUAUACAAAAUGUUUAAAGAACUCAAAAAGUUAGUCACCAAAAAAACCAAACAAUCCAGUCAAAAAAUGGGGUAUAGAACUAAACAGAUAUUUCACAACUGAGGAAUCUCGAAUGGCUGAGAAGCACCUAAAGAAAUGUUAAAAUUCCUUAAUGAUCAGAGAAAUGCAAAUCAAAAUGACCUCAAGAUUCCACCUCACCCCAGUCAGAAUGGCUAAGAUCAAAGCCUCAGGUGACAACACAUGUUGCAGAGGAUGUGGAGAAAGAGGAACACUCCUCCACUGCUGGUGGGAUUGCAAACUGGUACAACCACUCUGGAAAUCAAUCUGGAGGUUCCUCAGAAAAUUGGAAAUAGAGCUACAUGAAUACCCAGCUAUACCACUCUUGGGAAUAUAUCCAAAAGAUGUCCCACCAUGCCACAGGGCACCUGUUCCACUAUGUUCACAGCAGCCUUAUUUUUAAUAGGCAGAAGAUGGAAAGAACCCAGAUGUCCCACAACAGAAUAUUGGAUACAGAAAAUGUGGUUCAUUUACACAAUGGAAUACCACUCAGCUAUUAAGACCGAGAACAUCCUGAGUUUUGCAGGCAAAUGCAUGGAACUAGAAAAUAUUAUCCUGAGUGAGGUAACUCAGACCCCAAAGGACAUGGAUGUACUCAUUAAUAAGUGGAUAUUAGCCAAAAAAGAAAAAAGAAAAAAAAAAAAGAAAAAAUUCAUACAGAAUACACAAGAUACAGUCC
Mus musculus (house mouse) is the source of this 2927-nucleotide long non-coding RNA. RefSeq annotates it as predicted gene, 34589. Lineage: Eukaryota; Metazoa; Chordata; Mammalia; Rodentia; Muridae. The transcript is spliced from 7 exons. The record is from RefSeq and is a predicted model, not a curated record.